GGACUACUGGGGUAUCUAAUCCUGUUUGCUCCCCUUGCUCUCGCGCCUCAGCGUCAGGAAUAAGCUAGAAAAUCGCUUUCGCCACCGGUGUUCUUCCACAUAUCUACGCAUUUCACCGCUACACGUGGAAUUCCAUUUUCUCCGCCAAUCCUCAAGAUCCGCAGUCUUAAUUGCAGCUCCGAAGUUGAGCUUCGGAAUUUCACAAUUAACUUGCACAUCCGCCUACGCGCCCUUUACGCCCAAUAAAUCCGAUUAAUGCUUGCACCCUCCGUAUUACCGCGGCUGCUGGCAC
This 292-nucleotide ribosomal RNA is filed under the name uncultured bacterium. RNAcentral describes it as "partial 16S ribosomal RNA". The record is from RNAcentral.